This 2280-nucleotide long non-coding RNA is filed under the name Salvia miltiorrhiza (redroot sage). Its description in RNAcentral is "long non-coding RNA (SMIL_LNC005720)". Lineage: Eukaryota; Viridiplantae; Streptophyta; Magnoliopsida; Lamiales; Lamiaceae. The record is from RNAcentral.
CUUACAAUAAUCUAGACGAAUCCAAUAAUCUAGACUAAAAGCAAAAAUUUAAUAUUCUGAUUUGAAAUUGUCUAAAAUUCUUUUUCCCCAAAUUUAAUUUGCAAAGCAAACAUGAAGAAAAGCUACAGAAACUGGUGUAUGUAUGUGCGUAACUCCCAACUCUCAUUCUCAAUUCUUUAUGGCUGUCGAGGUAUCCCUUUGCAGUUUUCUCUCAACGGUAGGAGUCGGGUCCUCUAUGGCUGCUGAGGUAUCCCAUCGAAGUUUUCUCCCGGCGGCACCGAGAGUGGGCGGGUGUCGAGUCCUGCAAAUUGCAACCAUUGGCUUCACCUUGUUCGUACAUAACUCCAAUGAAAUUGCAAUCAAAGCAAAACCACGACAAGCAUCACUAAUAACAAUUAAACACAAUGCAAUCCAACUAAAACAUAGGUGUAUGCAUGUGACGCUCCCAUCAAUAAUCAUGAGAAAAACAAGGUAAACAAUUUCUUUUGGUUAGACAUAUUGUUGGUCUAUCUGCUGGUCUAUAGCUUAGCUCGUAUCUCUUGUUAGUUGGUACGUCUUCUACUACUUGGUUAUUCUAUUAGUUCUUAAAUUGAGGGGAAGUUUAGUUUGCAUUAGGGGACGGGGGCCUUCUGCCUUAACUAUUGUUGUUUAAACUAUUUGUUUUGAGUUAGUUUUUGCUGUUGUUUAUUCAUGCGUUGAGCAGGCUUUUGAGCAUCUUGUUUUGUCUACAUAAAUGACAAAUUGGGAGAUUGUUAAAAUAUAGAUUAUACUCUUAGGUAUUUGUCAUUAUGUAGACUGUAUCUUCUCUGUUUGAUACUUCUUCAAAUACUAGUACCAGAAAAUGUUCUAGCUUGUCUGAUACUUGCAGAGUCUCCUUAUCUGCACAGAAUUUGUAAGAAGAUAUACUUCAUAGUUUAUUAUAUUCGUAAAGACUCCUGAACAAAAAGAAUUCCAAUCUCUUUAUUAUUAAAGGUAUAAUAUGUUAAAAUUAUUGUUGGUUCUGUUUAUGGUUAUCUUCAAAUAGAUGUGUAUCAUUCUUACAAUAAGAGCUUGGCUAGGGUUUUGCAAGACAACCUUCUAUACAAAGACAAUGUGAAGAACGUUUGAGAGAUGUCACUUUUAUAUACUUUUGAGUGUUUAAAGUAUUUUGAAUUGUUAUGUAAGAUUAUACGGUGUUUAUAAGUGUGAUUGUGUUUCGAAGCUUCUCAUUGUGUGAGAUAAUAUUUGUUUUGUUCUUGCAUAAUAUAUUCGUUUACUUUGUUAAGGGAUUAGUGAAGAUUUUUUGAGCGAUUAUUUGGUGAAUGGAUUGAGUUCACACCCAGGUUAAUUAUAAGUUGCGGACUUGCUUCCAAUUUUCCACCGUGGGUGAAGCUUUGGGAAGGUAUAUGGGCCUAGUAAGAGAGACUAAGAGAGUCUUAUUGUGUAAGUCCAUGUGUAUCUUAACUUCAAUUAGUGGAGGCCCCCAUAGUAGGUGUGUUAACCGAACUGGUAACUAAUUUCUGAGCAGUGUUCUUUAUUGUUUUAAUACUUUACUUGACAUUAGUAUAACUAACCAUACUAUAAAUAUCUAUUGCGAGCAUUUAUGCAUACGAGUCGUGAUACGAGUGGGUGACAAUUUUAGAGGUUAUAUAAUUGAAAUAUAUUAAAAUUUCCACACUUAUUUUAUUAAUUUUUGAAUUCCCAUAUUACUAAUAUAAUCAUACUUAAAUGUUAUUAUUGCAUGCAUGAUUAAGUCCAAAUGAAUGAAGAGAUGUGUUCGAAUUCAACAAUCACUUCAGUCACUCCCAAUAAAUUAAAUGUAAACAUAUGAAUUUUUUUCAGACUGAUGUAAUUGGUGUUGAUAUACACUUUUCAACAACAAAGAUUUCAAAGAAGUUGAACCACAUUUAUACAAUAAGACAUCUCCAAAUCUAUGUAAAAAUCAUUAAUGAUAAAUUAUCAAUCUCUAUUGAUGCGUGAGUCAAGAUUAUAUCUUGAAUUAUUUUGGGUGCUUUUAUAUAUUUGUUUGGUUUGGAAUAUGUUUGCUUAAUAUACUUAUUUUUUUAUGUUAAUUAAUUUUAUUCAUUUUAAGUGAAAUUUGAUGUAGUUCUGUCUGGCGUUAUAUGUUAUAAAUUUCAGAUGCCACUUAUAAGUGUACCAAUUAUCGUAUGUGAAAAUGAAAGAGAAUCCAAGUGAUGUUGCACUAGAAUCUGAACAGCGGACGGAAAUGCCAUGUUGAUUGGCACUCCUCAAUUAUACUCUAUCCGUCCCAUUAUAUCUGAGGCUCUUUCUAUUUUGGGC